GAACACUACUCCUCUUCCACCACGGCUACUGGUAAACUUACCCCCAAGUGCUUAAACACUUACUCUCCUGAACUGAGUACGCCUCCUGCUCCAAUCAUAGACUCAACCAAGACCGACACUAGCCAAAGUACGCCUGCUCCGAUCGUAGAGUCAACCAAGAAAGACAUUAGCCAAAGUACGCCUCCUGCUCCAAUCGUAGAGUCAACCAAGAAAGACACUAUCCAAAAGAAAAACCUUGGAUCCAAGUUG
RNAcentral lists this long non-coding RNA (249 nucleotides) under Trifolium pratense (red clover). RNAcentral describes it as "long non-coding RNA (TPRA_LNC004148)". Lineage: Eukaryota; Viridiplantae; Streptophyta; Magnoliopsida; Fabales; Fabaceae. The record is from RNAcentral.